RNAcentral lists this ribosomal RNA (252 nucleotides) under uncultured bacterium. RNAcentral describes it as "partial 16S ribosomal RNA". It matches the Rfam family "Bacterial small subunit ribosomal RNA", at positions 524 to 776 of the family's 1533-position model. The record is from RNAcentral.
UACGUAGGUGGCAAGCGUUGUCCGGAAUUAUUGGGCGUAAAGCGCGCGCAGGCGGUUAUGUAAGUCUGAUGUUAAAGCCCGGGGCUCAACCUCGGUUCGCAUUGGAAACUGCGUAACUUGAGUGCAGAAGGGGAAAGUGGUAUUCCACGUGUAGCGGUGAAAUGCGUAGAUAUGUGGAGGAACACCAGUGGCGAAGGCGACUUUCUGGUCUGUAACUGACGAUGAGGCGCGAAAGCGUGGGGAGCAAACAGG